This 508-nucleotide long non-coding RNA is filed under the name Glycine max (soybean). RNAcentral's name for it is "long non-coding RNA (GMAX_LNC003009)". The record is from RNAcentral. Lineage: Eukaryota; Viridiplantae; Streptophyta; Magnoliopsida; Fabales; Fabaceae.
CCUUUUAUUAAUUUCUGUCAAUGUCCUUGUACUACUACAAAAAAGGGCUUCUACCACGCUGGAUCAAGAUCGAUUUUGUAAAAAUUGAUGUCUUCAAAUGGAAAAUCCCCCUUCUACCAGAUUUCUCUUCAUUUCUCAGCUACCCUUUAAUUGAGCAGGGUCCGACAGUUACUUUCUAUUGAUUCUGUUUGGGUUUUUGUAGGUUGGAGAAGUGUGGUGGGUGAACUAAUGAAGUUCUUUGCUCAGAAUCAUUUGUCAUCAAUCAAUUGUAUGCAAUCCUUUUUCUCUAUCUCUAGGUGUAACUCUGUAGUACCUAUUUUAUCUCCUUUGUUGCCAAUUUAUGAUGUGUUUAUUGAUAAUCUUAGCAAAUCUGGAGUUUCGGACUAUAGUUUUUUUUUUGGUCAGCAAAAUUUGCACUAUAGUUGUAAUUUAGUUUGAGAUUGAUCAAAGCAUGAUAUAUUUGAGAGAUAAACUACAAGAACUUCUUAUCCAAAUAUUAGAAUCCCAG